RNAcentral lists this small RNA (1143 nucleotides) under Pongo abelii (Sumatran orangutan). RNAcentral's name for it is "retained intron". The record is from RNAcentral. Lineage: Eukaryota; Metazoa; Chordata; Mammalia; Primates; Hominidae.
GGUGGCACAAGACUCUGUGUCACGUGAGGUCUGAGGAAGGGGGUGACCCAGGCGCCAGGUCAGGGGUUCUUGUCGGGCGCUGGGCCUGAGUGAGCAGUAAUGAAGGUGCGCUCCUGACCCCGCCUGGAUCUGGGGGAAGCCCUCUGGCCACGUGGCCUCCACCUCCUCCCUGGAGGGGCAGGAGGAGGGCCGGGCCCCGGGGGGCUCCUCUCACCGAGGCAGGUGGGCAGGGGCUCCAUUCCUGUGAAGUUCUCCCUGAUGUGCAUCUUCGCCUCUCCAUCCUGGCCUUGGAUCUAGAGGCAGAAAAGUGCAGAAGGAAGGGAGGAUCAGCUACGCCGACUUUGUCUGGUUUUUGAUCUCUGAGGAAGACAAAAAAACACCAACCAGCAUCGAGUACUGGUUCCGCUGCAUGGACCUAGAUGGGGACGGCGCCCUGUCCAUGUUCGAGCUCGAGUACUUCUACGAGGAGCAGUGCCGAAGGCUGGACAGCAUGGCCAUCGAGGCCCUGCCCUUCCAGGACUGCCUCUGCCAGAUGCUGGACCUGGUCAAGCCGAGGACCGAAGGGAAGAUCACGCUGCGGGACCUGAAGCGCUGCAAGCUGGCCAACGUCUUCUUCGACACCUUCUUCAACAUCGAGAAGUACCUCGACCAUGAGCAGAAAGAGCAGAUCUCCCUGCUCAGGGUGAGUGCGGUGGGCACGCGGGCGGGGCCGCACCUGCUGCGUACGUAACCUGUGUGCUUCCUCCAGGACGGUGACAGCAGCGGCCCCGAGCUCUCGGACUGGGAGAAGUACGCGGCCGAGGAGUACGACAUCCUGGUGGCUGAGGAGACUGCGGGAGAGCCCUGGGAGGACGGGUUCGAGGCCGAGCUCAGCCCUGUGGAGCAGAAGCUGAGUGCGCUGCGGUCCCCACUGGCCCAGAGGACCUUCUUCGAGGCGCCCUCGCCCCUGGGCGCCAUGGACCUGUACGAGUAUGCGUGCGGGGACGAGGACCUGGAGCCACUGUGACACCACCUGUGAGAACGCUGCCACGGGGCCACGCCACACAUGCCACGGCCACCACCAGGACUCCUGUAAAAACUGUUGUCUUUUGUGGAAAAUGAGUGCGUUUGUAUGGAAUGAUAAAUUUUUAUUUAUUCACAGAA